RNAcentral lists this transfer RNA (69 nucleotides) under Ochotona huangensis xunhuaensis. Its description in RNAcentral is "tRNA-Tyr". It matches the Rfam family "tRNA". Rfam says of the family: Transfer RNA (tRNA) molecules are approximately 80 nucleotides in length. Their secondary structure includes four short double-helical elements and three loops (D, anti-codon, and T loops). The record is from RNAcentral. Lineage: Eukaryota; Metazoa; Chordata; Mammalia; Lagomorpha; Ochotonidae.
GGUAAGGUGGCUGAAGUAAAGCAUUAGGCUGUAAAUCUAACCAUGGGGGUUCUAGUCCCCUUCUUACCA